UACAGAGGGUGCAAGCGUUGUUCGGAAUUAUUGGGCGUAAAGCGCGUGUAGGCGGCAUGGCAAGUCGGGUGUGAAAGCCCUCAGCUCAACUGAGGAAGUGCGCCCGAAACUGCUGCGCUUGAGUACCGGAGAGGGUGGCGGAAUUCCCCAAGUAGAGGUGAAAUUCGUAGAUAUGGGGAGGAACACCGGUGGCGAAGGCGGCCACCUGGACGGUCACUGACGCUGAGACGCGAAAGCGUGGGUAGCAAACAGG
RNAcentral lists this ribosomal RNA (253 nucleotides) under uncultured bacterium. RNAcentral describes it as "partial 16S ribosomal RNA". It matches the Rfam family "Bacterial small subunit ribosomal RNA", at positions 524 to 776 of the family's 1533-position model. The record is from RNAcentral.